Molecule: unclassified non-coding RNA, 328 nt
Filed under: soil metagenome
Description: partial contains 5.8S ribosomal RNA, internal transcribed spacer 2, and large subunit ribosomal RNA
Rfam family: 5.8S ribosomal RNA (bases 1-120)
Source: RNAcentral
GAUGAAGAACGUAGCGAAAUGCGAUAAGUAAUGUGAAUUGCAGAAUUCCGUGAAUCAUCGAAUCUUUGAACGCACAUUGCGCCCCUUGGUAUUCCGAGGGGCAUGCCUGUUCGAGCGUCAUUAUAACCCCUCAAGCUCAGCUUGGUGUUGGGGCCUGCCGCACGGGCAGCCCUUAAAAUCAGUGGCGGUGCCAUCUGGCUCUAAGCGUAGUAAUUCUUCUCGCUACAGAGUCCCGGUGGAUGCUUGCCAUUAACCCCCAAUUUUCUAUGGUUGACCUCGGAUCAGGUAGGGAUACCCGCUGAACUUAAGCAUAUCAAUAAGCGGAGGA